GAUGAAGAACGUAGCGAAAUGCGAUAAGUAAUGUGAAUUGCAGAAUUCAGUGAAUCAUCGAAUCUUUGAACGCACAUUGCGCCCGCCAGCAUUCUGGCGGGCAUGCCUGUUCGAGCGUCAUUUCAACCCUCGAGCCCCCCCGGGGGCCUCGGUGUUGGGGGACGGCACACCAGCCGCCCCCGAAAUGCAGUGGCGACCCCGCCGCAGCCUCCCCUGCGUAGUAGCACACACCUCGCACCGGAGCGCGGAGGCGGUCACGCCGUAAAACGCCCAACUUUCUUAGAGUUGACCUCGGAUCAGGUAGGAAUACCCGCUGAACUUAAGCAUAUCAAUAAGCGGAGGGA
Molecule: unclassified non-coding RNA, 344 nt
Filed under: soil metagenome
Description: partial contains 5.8S ribosomal RNA, internal transcribed spacer 2, and large subunit ribosomal RNA
Rfam family: 5.8S ribosomal RNA (bases 1-120)
Source: RNAcentral